UUAAGGCAAGAUAUACAGAGGGUUAGGGAAGGAGGGAAGAGCAAUUUUAAACCAGGUUAGGGAAGACUUCAUUGACAAGGUAACAAGUGAGUGAAGAUGAGGAGGUAAGAAAGCAAGUCAUGAAAUUCUCUACAGAAAGAACAUUCCAGGCACAGAGAACAGCAAAUACAAAGGUCCUGAGGUGACCUGUGCCCAGCAUAUUCAAAUAGAACCAAAAGCCAAGAGAAGUAGGCCUUGAGAUCAGGGAGGCAACAAGUGGAGAACAGAUCAUGUGGGUCUUACAGGCUAUAUUGAUGGCUUGUCUUCUAUUCUGAGUGACCUGGGAAGCAGAUAGAGUUUAAGAGCAGACAGAGAAGUAAAAAUUUUCCAAGGUGAGGUCUUUGGCACACUCAAAACUUUCAUGAGUGUCCAGGAAUCCUGAGAUGAAGUUGUUUGAGAAGUGCUGAGCUUCCUCGGUCACAACAACCCCUGGGAGGUAGAUGCUAUCGUCACUGGUUAACAGGAUCACUUCCCAGAUGAGCUAACUCUUCCCAAGUCCUCGUCAUGGGAUCUGCAAAUACAGGUUGAGGAUCCCUGAUCCAAAAUCAGAAAUGCUCCAAAAUGUGGACCUCUUUGAGCACCAACAGGAGCCACAAAUUGAAAAUUCCUAUCUGCCAGCUGCCCCAAUGCACUGGGUCACAGGCAAAAUGCAGGUUCACUGAAAGCGUUGGAUAAAAUUACCUUGAGUUUACCUG
Marmota monax (woodchuck) is the source of this 734-nucleotide long non-coding RNA. RefSeq lists it as uncharacterized. The record is from RefSeq and is a predicted model, not a curated record. The transcript is spliced from 3 exons. Lineage: Eukaryota; Metazoa; Chordata; Mammalia; Rodentia; Sciuridae.